This 381-nucleotide ribosomal RNA is filed under the name uncultured bacterium. Its description in RNAcentral is "partial 16S ribosomal RNA". It matches the Rfam family "Bacterial small subunit ribosomal RNA", at positions 355 to 727 of the family's 1533-position model. The record is from RNAcentral.
UGGGGAAUAUUGCACAAUGGGCGCAAGCCUGAUGCAGCCAUGCCGCGUGUGUGAAGAAGGCCUUCGGGUUGUAAAGCACUUUCAGCGAGGAGGAAGGCAUUAAGGUUAAUAACCUUAGUGAUUGACGUUACUCGCAGAAGAAGCACCGGCUAACUCCGUGCCAGCAGCCGCGGUAAUACGGAGGGUGCAAGCGUUAAUCGGAAUUACUGGGCGUAAAAGCGCACGCAGGCGGUUUGUUAAGUCAGAUGUGAAAUCCCCGAGCUUAACUUGGGAACUGCAUUUGAAACUGGCAAGCUAGAGUCUUGUAGAGGGGGGUAGAAUUCCAGGUGUAGCGGUGAAAUGCGUAGAGAUCUGGAGGAAUACCGGUGGCGAAGGCGGCCC